GACAGAGGAUGCAAGCGUUAUCCGGAAUGAUUGGGCGUAAAGCGUCUGUAGGUGGCUUUUCAAGUCCGCCGUCAAAUCCCAGGGCUCAACCCUGGACAGGCGGUGGAAACUACCAAGCUGGAGUACGGUAGGGGCAGAGGGAAUUUCCGGUGGAGCGGUGAAAUGCAUUGAGAUCGGAAGGAACACCUUUGGCGAAAGCGGCUCACUGGACCAUUACUGACGCUGAUGCACGAAAGCUAGGGGAGCAAACAGG
RNAcentral lists this ribosomal RNA (253 nucleotides) under uncultured bacterium. RNAcentral's name for it is "partial 16S ribosomal RNA". It matches the Rfam family "Bacterial small subunit ribosomal RNA", at positions 524 to 776 of the family's 1533-position model. The record is from RNAcentral.